AUAACUGUAGCUCACUUAACAUAGCAACUUGAUAGUUGAUUUUAAGAUGAACUUUAUGUUUGUUGAAAAACUUUUGUGUAGGUUUUCAGACAGUUUGUGCUUCUUGUUAGGGUUGGUGGCAAACAUUUGGACAUGUUUUUGAGGCAAUUUAUGUUUGGUGGGAUGCUUUUGUCUGCUUCACUUGGAAUUCUUGUCAAUUGAUGGAAAUUUUAAUGUACUUAUUGAAUGUUUUAAUGGAGA
This 240-nucleotide long non-coding RNA is filed under the name Coffea arabica (coffee). RNAcentral's name for it is "long non-coding RNA (CARA_LNC001758)". Lineage: Eukaryota; Viridiplantae; Streptophyta; Magnoliopsida; Gentianales; Rubiaceae. The record is from RNAcentral.